This 4925-nucleotide long non-coding RNA is filed under the name Sus scrofa (pig). Its description in RNAcentral is "lncRNA (ENSSSCG00060078604.1)". The record is from RNAcentral. Lineage: Eukaryota; Metazoa; Chordata; Mammalia; Artiodactyla; Suidae.
UAUAUAUAUAUUUCAACUGUACAGCAUGGAGACCCAGUUACACAUACAUAUAUACAUUCUUUUUUCUCACAUUACGUGUUCCAUCAUAAGUGACUAGACAGAGUUCCCAGUGUGACUCAGCAAGAUCCCAUCGCUAAUCCAUCCCAAAGGCAACAUUCUGCAUCUAUUUACCCCAAGCUGCUUACCAAGAGCUGUUCUUAAAAAGAAAUUCCAAUGCUGAAAAAAGCUGAGAAUGACUGAUGCAAUAGGAUCAUGACAGAGGAGUCCAAAAGAUCACAUUUAUUUUACAUCUUAGGAUGAAAACUCUCGAAACCAAACUCAAGGGUUUAUUACUACAAGUUUGGAAAGUUUGGACAGCACCAAGCACAUAUACCCACUGGGCUAAGGGAAUCCACCAGGGCUCUCAGCCUUACCUCUUUGCUGGGCUGGGGAGCAGACACGGCCACACCCAUUGCUGGUGCAUCGUCUUCCUUCCCCACAGUCCUGGUCUACACGGCACUCCGUCACACAGAUACCUACAUCUUGAGAAAAGACCGGGUUGAGAUGCUCACAUUAAACCAGUACUUAUCUUAUAAAUGACCCUGACCUCAUGACAGCAUUUUACAUUUUGAUCUGGUACUUCACUGUUUAAACAUGAUCUCACAUAGAACUUCAUCCCUCUAAUAAAAAAAGAUCCGAAGUAUUUACAGGACUAUUUGGAGCAUUUCCUUAGGACUGAAGUACCUGUAGGAAAGAAAGCUGCAAAGAAAGCAGGUUAGUAGUAACUCAAACGGGCUUUAAUUGGUAGGUUUUCUUAUUUAUAUUUCACAGACGAGGACAUAGAGAGAUAUCUGGUCAAUGGCAGAGUUGGGAUUUGAAUUCAGGGCUAUUUGCCUUGAAAGCUCAUGUCCCUUUUGCUCUACAGCUCCGUGAAAUUAACCUUGAAUACAAAGUUGAGCCCCCAAAGGUCAAGAAAUUCUUUCUGAUGGAAGUAGACAGUUUCCUGGAUUCUAACCCCUAAAAAGGUCUCAGUGUGGCUACUCACUAUUGAGGGAGAUGGAGUUGAAAGAUGGGGACAGGCCUGGAAGCUGCAUCAAAGCCUUGGGUAAGAGAACACCACCUGUGCCAUCAUCACAGCACCAUCAACAAGAGAAUUCUCACUGCGGGUCCUGCCACCUGGCUGACCUGCUUCUACCACUAGCCCUGUCCUUCUCUCUCAGCCUUCCUUUUAUCAUCUGCAAACUGAGGUUGUCUUGGGUGUGGCCUGGGGAAGUGGGGGAAGACUAGACCAGUUGGAGUGACUCCUCAAAUGUGGCUGAUUCUCAGAGUCACCUGGGAGCUUUGGAAAGAAGUACAGAGAGCAGGACCUGGUCCAGACCUGAUUGCUCAGGUUUUCCAGGGCUGAACCUAUAAAUGUAGAAUUUACUGAGUGUCCCCAGGGAUAGAGACCCUCCCAGAGCCAGUGUGCCUCCGACACUGUAGGAGUCCAGAAGCUGCUGCCAAUUUGAUAAGGAAGCUUGGGGACCAUAGCUGUCUCUCAGUAUUUAAUCCUUCCUUCCCUCCUUCCUUCCUUCCUUCCUUCCUUCCUACAUUGUUCAUUUAUUCAUUCAUACAUUCCCUUGUACCUAAUUCAUUUCCUUAUUCUUUUUUUAAAAAGUACCUACUAUAUGUAAGGGACAGGACUAGAUGUUUCAGGGAGUAGAGAUGUAAGUCAGGGUUUGUGUCAGCAAGGCAGAAAAAACCUGGGAUGGGAAAUCCAAGCUCUCCUAUAAGUACAUUUCCCAGCACUAUACAUGUAGUAAGUACCAUGAAAGAGGUACUGCAAAGAGAUAAAGGAUAGGAGUGGCUUAACCAUUACUGUGCUAGAAAAUAAGCUGGGGUUUAAAUGCCCACACAGAGACAUGUGCCUGCACAAACAGACAAAAUUUAGAUUUCAGGAGCAGAUGCUAGGAAAGGGCUGAGGCAAAGAAUGAAUGGAGCCCUUCCUAAGAGUUACCAUCCUCAUUUUAUCACUUUAACAAAUUAUUCAAUUUAGGAGUUCCCUGUGGCCGAGUUGGAUAAGGACCUCCCUGCUUUAGCCUGGGUUCAAGCCAUGACCUGGAAACUUCCACAUGCUGCAGGAGCAGCCAAAAAACUCCACAAAACCAAAGGAAAUUAUACACUUUAUAAACUGUCAACUAUUGCGAAAAAGUUCACAAUCUCUAUAGAACUUUAUAGUUUAAAGAGUGGUUUCACCAGGUACAUGAAUGAACAGAGAUGAUUUUAUUCUUAGAUGUUGAUCUAAUGUAUUUAUGGCUCUCGACUCUUCCUAGAUUCUGCCUACCCAAUGCCCUACCCUCUUUAGUCAAUGGCAAUCUGAGUUUCCUGGCAAGGGCACACCAGCCUGGAGUAAAGGAGCCAGGGCUUGGCAGUGAGUUUUAAACUAGGCUCUGUUGAAUUAGACAACAACAGGCUCUGCUGAGCAAGAAAGGGUUUUGUAAAUGUCAGAAGUGCCUCUUUACACAUACAAGGCUUAGAACUCUGAGCAGAGAGAAGAUGCAGGACAUAUGUGAGUUCUCACCCUACAGAAAAGGGCAAAGUCUUUCUGAUUAAUGAAGAAGAGGGGGUGGGGAAGCAGUAUCAGAAGGAAGGAAGGAGGGAGUGAGAGGAGAGGAAAGGGAAGGGACUAUUGAUGAAAACAAACAUUCAUAACCUCUUUCACUCCUAAGAAGUAUAUUCUGGAGGACACAUUUCCACAGAUAGACAAAAAUUAAAAUUCAUUAAAGCUUCCUGAGCAACAGCCAAAAAUGUCAUGUAAAUAAAAUGACCACCAAAGGGUACUGGUUAAAUGGAUUAUGAUAAAUUUACUCAUUAGUAAUCAUUUCAUCCAAAAAGAAUGAGAUGCAUUUGUGUUGACAAGGAAAGAUGUCCAUAUUUAAUGUUAAAUUGUAAAAGAUAUAUGUAAAACAUGAUAGGAUACCUUAUACAAGACAAUGGGAUAUAUGUUAAUUUAUGCAAAUUGAGGCCAUAAUAUAGAGCUUGUGCUAAUUUCCUUAUGCUUCACAGACAGACCUGGGCUCUCCCCAUCCUUAUCAAUGUGGCCACAGGUAAGUCAUCUCACUGCUCUAAGCCUGGUGUCCUCAGCUGUAUAACACUGAUACCUGGCACGACUCUAACUCUGAGAUGUAAAAGCAGUGAUCUCAGAACCUGCCUGGCAAAUAGCAGGAGAUCAGGACUUGCUUCUUCCCACAGUGCCUGUGUAUCUGUCAGGAAUCAGUUAAUACAGGAGGUUGGUAAAGCCUUCUAGACACCAAAUAUUGUCAAAUAGUUCACACUGCAGUAUUUCAAAGACACAAGGAAUUUGUUGUAUCCAAUAAGUUACAAAACACAUUGAGUCCACUGGAUAAUCAAUCAUCAUAGGGUUGCCUGCCAUUGUGUACAUAAUUAUGUUGUCCAGUUGGGGGCACUGUUUGCAGUGUGAGUGGGGUGACUUAAGGAAGAGGAUAGAAAUCAGGGGAUGGGAGAGCCAAAGCAAAGAAACUAGGUUCAAUCUUUUGUGUUCUCAUCUAUAAAAUAGAGGUGAGAGGAAUACCUCCAUCUCUGCUCCCUAAAGUUCUCAAGAUUAAACAAAAUCAUGGAUUUUGAAAAGACCUGGGGAGUUCCCGUUGCGGCACAGUGAUUAACCAUGAAAACACCCGGCACAGAGAGAUUGCCCAAUGGGUGUUUUUCACUCUCUCACACUCCGGAGGAUGCCAACUUAUUGCAAAGGAUUAUUGAAGCAAUCUCUAAAAACAAGUAAAUAGUUCAUAAACAUCACUGAAGUUUGUUGAUAAAUUGCAGGUAAUUUAAAAACCAUAAACUCAUAUGAAAUCUCUACCAUUGUCAAAUAGUGAAAAAUGAAAAUAUAGCCAGCAUUAUGAAGUUUAUCAAACUUUUUUUAAAAAUUAACACUUAAUAUUUAUAUAUGUAUGUAUGUAUUGGCAGCUCUGCAGCAGAUGGAGUUGCUGAGCCAGGGAUCAGAGUCACAUGUGUGACCUAUGCCACGGAAACUGCAACCCUGCAGCUUUAAACCCACUGUGCCAGGCCGGGGAUCAAACCCUCAUCCUGGCACUGCAGAGAUGCCGCUGAUCCCAUUGGGCCACAGUGGGAACUGCUAUCAAACUUGUUGACAAACACAGUGCAUCCUCACAACAGCAAACUGGCAAAGUAUCUUUGGAUCAAAAAAAACAUACCUGCUCUUUGAGUCAGCAGUACCAUUUCUAGGAAUGUUUCCCAGGCAAAUAAUCAAGUUACACAUGGAAAGGUUUUGUUCUGAGAGACUCUUUGAUAGCAAAAUAUCAGAGAAGUUUCAGAGUCCCGUGGUCAAGAAUUAGUAAACAGAAUGUGGUAUCUCACAACGAAAAUGCUUUGAAGCCUCUCAAGAAGAAUAGAAUUGUAGAAAUGUGUCCACACUCAGAGAAAGCUAGUCACUGUAUAUUACCAGUUGUAAAAAGAAAAUGGGCAAGGUUUUAAACAUUUGUGGAGUGUGAUGCUAUAAUUAUUUGGCAUUGUACCCUCUGAAUAUAUAUGUGGAAGGAUAUGAACAAACAGGUAAUAAUGUUUAUCCUCUGGUCAUGGCAUAAUGGGCACAUUUUGCCUUCCAUUUGUUGGCUGUAGUUCCUGAUCUUCUCUACUGAGUAUGUACUCCUUGAGCAAAUGCAAUGAUUUUUCUCUCAGGAUUCUCAGCCUUGAAAAUGUUGGGAUAAAGGGUCUCAUGACUGCAGUUUUUCUCAAAGAGCAAGAGCAGAGGAGACCCCAGGCAGUCAGUGUAUUUAUUCCCCCCACCUUUCUGGGGGACCACACCCUUGUGAAAGGUGAGAUCACGCCAAGCUCCUACAUCUCCUGGGACAGGCUGGGGUGGAGGCACUCAGGACUCACCGACUUGAUGGACGGGGGCGCAGACGUGCCCACAGCCCUUCCUCACGCAC